GGGUGCGAUCAUACCAGCACUAAUGCACCAGAUUCCAUCAAAACUCCGCAGUUAAGCGUGCUUGGGCGAGAGUAGUACUAGGAUGGGUGACCUCCCGGGAAGUCCUCGUGUUGCACCCC
This 119-nucleotide ribosomal RNA is filed under the name Brassica oleracea var. oleracea. Lineage: Eukaryota; Viridiplantae; Streptophyta; Magnoliopsida; Brassicales; Brassicaceae. The record is from RNAcentral.